UGGGGAAUUUUGGACAAUGGACGAAAGUCUGNUCCAGCCAUGCCGCGUGCGGGAAGAAGGCCUUCGGGUUGUAAACCGCUUUUGUCAGGGAAGAAAUCCUUUGAGCUAAUACCUCGGGGGGAUGACGGUACCUGAAGAAUAAGCACCGGCUAACUACGUGCCAGCAGCCGCGGUAAUACGUAGGGUGCAAGCGUUAAUCGGAAUUACUGGGCGUAAAGCGUGCGCAGGCGGUUAUGUAAGACAGAGGUGAAAUCCCCGGGCUCAACCUGGGAACUGCCUUUGUGACUGCAUAGCUUGAGUGCGGCAGAGGGGGAUGGAAUUCCGCGUGUAGCAGUGAAAUGCGUAGAUAUGCGGAGGAACACCGAUGGCGAAGGCAAUCCCCUGGGCCUGCACUGACGCUCAUGCACGAAAGCGUGGGGAGCAAACAGGAUUAGAUACCCUGGUAGUCCACGCCCUAAACGAUGUCAACUGGUUGUUGGGAAGGUUCCUUCUCAGUAACGUAGCUAACGCGUGAAGUUGACCGCCUGGGGAGUACGGCCGCAAGGUUG
RNAcentral lists this ribosomal RNA (548 nucleotides) under uncultured bacterium. RNAcentral describes it as "bacterial SSU rRNA". It matches the Rfam family "Bacterial small subunit ribosomal RNA", at positions 355 to 896 of the family's 1533-position model. The record is from RNAcentral.